UACCUUCCUCCUCUGGUACUUUUCACUCUCCCUCUCUACGCCGGCAGCAAAACAUCUUUCAAGAUCAUGCCGGGUAGGGUUCCCUAUAUUUCCUUGUAUUGCUUUUCAGUUCAUGUAUGAUUCAUUAUUGCACGAAGCAAUUACAUUUUCCUGGUGUCCUCUCAUACCAAAAAUUUGUGCGUACAGGUGAUGUUCAUGCUAGCGGUGCUGGAUUGAUUUCAUUUUGGAGCUUCGUACUGGAAUUUUUUGGUGUUGGUAAUCUCAAAUCUUUUGGACAGUUAACACCAAUAUUUUUAUGCCGCACGAUUGCUUACAUUGCAUCUUCCCUGUUGAUGCUCCACUACUUUUAGUUUCACUGGAGAUUUCCAUGCUCUUUGUACUUGCGCCUCUUGAAGAUGGGGCAUAUCCUUCCUUUUGUUUAGACAAAGUGUCAGUAUGUGUUUUCCUUUUGAUGUUCAGAAGCAGAGGCCGAUUGUGCUUCUGAACUAGCAGUGUCUAAGGCCAAUAUGUCGCUGUUACAUACAGACCUACCAGGUUCAUUGGAGUUCUGCUUGAUGGAACUUUCUG
This 567-nucleotide long non-coding RNA is filed under the name Triticum aestivum (bread wheat). Its description in RNAcentral is "long non-coding RNA (TAES_LNC017493)". The record is from RNAcentral. Lineage: Eukaryota; Viridiplantae; Streptophyta; Magnoliopsida; Poales; Poaceae.